CCCGAAACUUCCUCUUGCAACAAUUUCAGCACCUUUAUCUAUAGCAUCAUUGAUAAGGCCUUCAAGUUUUUCAAAAUUCUCAUGCAUGCAUAGAGCUCCCAUGUCAUACCUUCCAGCCAGUGGUGGACCCUGCAAAAUUACUAUAGCUGCUUGAA
Molecule: non-coding RNA, 155 nt
Organism: Arachis ipaensis
Lineage: Eukaryota; Viridiplantae; Streptophyta; Magnoliopsida; Fabales; Fabaceae
Source: RefSeq, a predicted model, not a curated record